Molecule: ribosomal RNA, 253 nt
Filed under: uncultured bacterium
Lineage: Bacteria
Description: partial 16S ribosomal RNA
Rfam family: Bacterial small subunit ribosomal RNA
Source: RNAcentral
UACGAAGGUGGCAAGCGUUGUUCGGAUUUACUGGGCGUAAAGGGAGCGUAGGUGGUGCGGUAAGCCCUCCGGGAAAGCUUCAGGCUUAACCUGAAAAGGUCGGGGGGGACUGCCACGCUAGAGGACGGGAGAGGAGCGCGGAAUUCCCGGUGUAGCGGUGAAAUGCGUAGAGAUCGGGAGGAAGGCCGGUGGCGAAGGCGGCUUACUAGACGACAACUGACGCUGAGGCGCGAAAGCUAGGGGAGCAAACAGG